CAGCCAGAGUCCCAAAGGCUGUGAAGAAUCCGAGCUGCUCUUUCAAUAUACCGAGAUCCCAGAUACUCUACUGCAUGUGUUAUAGUUUCAACUGUAAUUUCCUGCGUGGCUCCUUAGCAGCACGUGUUUCUGAGCAGGACAGGUGCUACAGCAUCCCUGUACAGGGAUUCUUACUGUGGAAGCCAGAGUGGUGCUUUGCCUGCACGUCUCUACUUCAUCCACACUACUGGAAGUGCCUUUAUAACAUGACUGAUCUAAGGAAGAGUCAUCUGAUUCUACGCACAACUGAGUUGUAUCAAACAAACAAAAGAAUGAAGGCCUAAAGAUGAACAAGAGAAGGGUUAUUAAGUAAUUCAAGCAGAAUAAGCUCCUGCUAAUAGCAUCAGCUUACAGUAGAACCACCCGAACUGGAACAGAUCCUGACAGAUAUAUUGAAGAUGAGCACUGUCCACAGACUGACGUACUCAAGAUAGCAGGGCAAUUCUGUUAGGACCUGCCAUGUCUAAGGUUUGAGCAGCCCACUUCUGCCCUCCACAGAGCUGCAGACAGAACUGUAAUUAAGCAAGCAGAAAUCCUGUUCUUCAGUCUCCACAAAGCAAACUUCUAAUCCAGCUGAAGAUUUUGGAUGAUGCUGUGAAAGGAGUCAGUCAGAAUGGUCCACGUGCACUGUAUUUGAAGAGAGAACUGGGACUUUG
This 695-nucleotide long non-coding RNA is filed under the name Gallus gallus (chicken). Its description in RNAcentral is "long non-coding RNA NONGGAT008744". Lineage: Eukaryota; Metazoa; Chordata; Aves; Galliformes; Phasianidae. The record is from RNAcentral.